CACGGGGGGAGCAAGCGUUGUCCGGAAUCACUGGGCGUAAAGGGCGUGUAGGCGGUCAGGUAAGUGGGACGUGAAAUACCUCGGCUCACCCGAGGAGCGGCGUCCCAAACUGCUUGGCUUGAGUAUGGGAGAGGUUGUGGGAAUUCCUGGUGUAGCGGUGAAAUGCGUAGAUAUCAGGAGGAACACCGGUGGCGAAGGCGCACAACUGGCCCAAUACUGACGCUGAUGCGCGAAAGCUAGGGGAGCAAACGGG
RNAcentral lists this ribosomal RNA (253 nucleotides) under uncultured bacterium. Its description in RNAcentral is "partial 16S ribosomal RNA". It matches the Rfam family "Bacterial small subunit ribosomal RNA", at positions 524 to 776 of the family's 1533-position model. The record is from RNAcentral.